RNAcentral lists this ribosomal RNA (492 nucleotides) under uncultured bacterium. RNAcentral describes it as "partial 16S ribosomal RNA". It matches the Rfam family "Bacterial small subunit ribosomal RNA", at positions 29 to 507 of the family's 1533-position model. The record is from RNAcentral.
AGUGAACGCUGGCGGUAGGCCUAACACAUGCAAGUCGAACGGCAGCACAGUAAGAGCUUGCUCUUACGGGUGGCGAGUGGCGGACGGGUGAGGAAUACAUCGGAAUCUACUUUUUCGUGGGGGAUAACGUAGGGAAACUUACGCUAAUACCGCAUACGACCUACGGGUGAAAGCAGGGGAUCUUCGGACCUUGCGCGAUUGAAUGAGCCGAUGUCGGAUUAGCUAGUUGGCGGGGUAAAGGCCCACCAAGGCGACGAUCCGUAGCUGGUCUGAGAGGAUGAUCGGCCACACGGGAGCUGAGACACGGUCCAGACUCCUACGGGAGGCAGCAGUGGGGAAUAUUGGACAAUGGGCGGAAGCCUGAUCCAGCCAUACCGCGUGGGUGAAGAAGGCCUUCGGGUUGUAAAGCCCUUUUGUUGGGAAAGAAAAGCAGCAGGUUAAUACCCCGCUGUUCUGACGGUACCCAAAGAAUAAGCACCGGCUAACUUCGUG